UUCGUUGUUUGCGAAAUUCAUGC
Molecule: microRNA, 23 nt
Filed under: Pristionchus pacificus
Lineage: Eukaryota; Metazoa; Nematoda; Chromadorea; Rhabditida; Neodiplogasteridae
Description: ppc-miR-76-3p
Gene: ppc-miR-76-3p
Source: miRBase by way of RNAcentral